AUCGCGAACAUACCUCUCGUCGUUGCUUCGGCGGGCUGCUCGUCAGGGCGCCCGCCGGAGGACCACCAAACUCUGUUUUCUUAGCGUAUCUCUGAGUGGACCACAAAAAUGAAUCAAAACUUUCAACAACGGAUCUCUUGGUUCUGGCAUCGAUGAAGAACGCAGCGAAAUGCGAUAAGUAAUGUGAAUUGCAGAAUUCAGUGAAUCAUCGAAUCUUUGAACGCACAUUGCGCCCGCCAGUAUUCUGGCGGGCAUGCCUGUCCGAGCGUCAUUUCAACCCCUCAAGCCCUGCUUGGUGUUGGGGCCCCCUACGUGCGCCGUAGGCCCCGAAUUCCAGUGGCGGGCUCGCCGCGAACCCGAGCGUAGUAGCUUUUGCCUCGCUCAGGGCCCGCGGCGGGCGCCUGCCGUGAAAGAACCCACUAUUCUAAAGGUUGACCUCGGAUCAGGUAGGAAUACCCGCUGAACUUAAGCAUAUCAAUAAGCGGAGGAAAAGAAACCAACAAGGAUUCCCCUAGUAAC
This 519-nucleotide ribosomal RNA is filed under the name Sordariomycetes sp. 111 XC-2016. RNAcentral's name for it is "eukaryotic LSU rRNA". The stretch from base 118 to 271 matches the Rfam family "5.8S ribosomal RNA". The record is from RNAcentral. Lineage: Eukaryota; Fungi; Ascomycota; Sordariomycetes.